UACGUAGGGCGCAAGCGUUGUCCGGAAUUAUUGGGCGUAAAGAGCUCGUAGGCGGCUUGUCACGUCGAUUGUGAAAGCCCGAGGCUUAACCUCGGGUCUGCAGUCGAUACGGGCUAGCUAGAGUGUGGUAGGGGAGAUCGGAAUUCCUGGUGUAGCGGUGGAAUGCGCAGAUAUCAGGAGGAACACCGGUGGCGAAGGCGGGUCUCUGGGCAGUAACUGACGCUGAGGAGCGAAAGCGUGGGGAGCGAACAGG
Molecule: ribosomal RNA, 253 nt
Filed under: uncultured bacterium
Lineage: Bacteria
Description: partial 16S ribosomal RNA
Rfam family: Bacterial small subunit ribosomal RNA
Source: RNAcentral